GCUAAGCACUUACAACUGUUUGCAGAGGAAACUGAGACUUUGUAACUAUAUCUCAGUCUCAUCUGCAAAGAAGUAAGUGCUUUGC
This is a microRNA precursor of Bos grunniens (domestic yak), 85 nucleotides long. Ensembl annotates it as microRNA 452. Its record names the gene MIR452. The record is from Ensembl. Lineage: Eukaryota; Metazoa; Chordata; Mammalia; Artiodactyla; Bovidae.